CAUUGGACUCUUCUAUCAGACCGGAAGUGGGGCUGUUGUGCUUCCUGAAUUGAAUUCAGACGGCGGCUGUGCAACGAUGUCGGGCGGUCCAGGGAGACAGGGUAGCAAAGUUGUAUCGAAAGCGGCAACGGGCGGUGCGGGGGCCGCCGGGGCUGCCGGUGCACCACCGGCCGUGCCCCUGGCCUCGCCGCUCAUGGGGAAGAAAAAGAAGCCGUUUCUGGGGAUGCCUGCCCCGCUGGGCUAUGUACCCGGGCUCGGCAGAGGUGCUACUGGAUUUACCACCCGGUCCGAUAUUGGUCCCGCUCGGGAUGCGAACGACCCAGUAGAUGACCGCCAUGCGCCCCCGGGAAAGAGGACAGUUGGGGACCAGAUGAAAAAGAACGAAGAGGAUGAGGAAGAUUUGAACGACACCAACUAUGACGAGUUUAACGGCUAUGCAGGUAGCCUUUUCUCCAGUGGGCCGUACGAGAAAGACGAUGAAGAGGCAGAUGCAAUAUAUGCGGCACUGGACAAAAGAAUGGAUGAGCGGCGCAAAGAGAGGAGGGAGCUACGCGAGAAGGAUGAAAUUGAGAAAUACCGUAUGGAGCGACCAAAGAUCCAGCAGCAGUUUUCAGAUCUAAAGAGGAAGCUGGCAGAGGUGUCGGAGGAGGACUGGCUCAGCAUCCCAGAGGUGGGCGAUGCAAGAAACAAGCGUCAGAGAAACCCGCGCCAUGAGAAGCUUACACCUAUGCCCGACAGCUUCUUCUCCAAGCACCUUCAGUCUGGUGACAAGAACACCACCGUGGACCCACUGCAGGGGCUGGGCGGUUUGAACACCCCCUACCCAGGCAGCAUGACCCCCGGAACCGGGGAGUUGGACAUGAGGAAGAUCGGCCAAGCCAGGAACACACUCAUGGACAUGAGGCUUAGCCAGGUGUCUGACUCAGUUAGUGGACAGACGGUGGUGGAUCCAAAAGGUUACCUGACCGACCUCAACUCCAUGAUCCCCACCCACGGAGGAGACAUUAGUGACAUCAAGAAGGCUCGUCUUCUGCUCAAGUCGGUGCGGGAGACCAACCCCCACCACCCCCCUGCCUGGAUCGCCUCCGCCAGGCUGGAGGAGGUGACGGGCAAGCUGCAGGUGGCUCGUAACCUCAUCAUGAAGGGCACCGAGAUGUGUCCCAAGAGUGAGGACAUGUGGCUGGAGGCGGCCAGGCUGCAGCCGGGGGACACGGCCAAGGCGGUGGUGGCCCAGGCGGUGCGCCAUCUGCCCGGCUCGGUGCGCAUCUACAUCAGGGCUGCGGAGCUGGAGACCGACGGCAGGGCCAAGAAGAGAGUGCUCAGGAAGGCCCUUGAGAAUGUGUCCAAAUCGGUGCGUCUUUGGAAGACGGCCGUGGAGCUGGAAGAACCCGAGGACGCCAGGAUCAUGCUGAGCAGAGCGGUGGAGUGCUGUCCCACCAGCGUGGAGCUAUGGCUGGCGCUGGCCAGGCUGGAGACGUACGAGAACGCCCGCCGCGUCCUCAACAAAGCCCGCGAGAACAUCCCCACGGACCGCCACAUCUGGAUCACCGCCGCCAAGCUGGAGGAGGCCAACGGCAACACGCAGAUGGUGGAGAAGAUCAUCGACAGAGCCAUCACCUCGCUGGGCGCCAACGGCGUGGAGAUCAACAGGGAACAGUGGAUACAGGAUGCAGAGGAGUGUGACAAGGCGGGCAGCGUGGCCACCUGCCAGGCCGUCAUACGGGCUGUCAUAGGGAUCGGCAUUGAGGAGGAGGACUGCAAGCACACCUGGAUGGAGGACUCAGAAAGUUGCGUGUCCCAUGGUGCUCUGGAAUGUGCCAGGGCAAUCUACGCCCACGCUUUGCAGGUGUUUCCCAGCAAGAAGAGUGUGUGGCUACGGGCUGCCUACUUUGAGAAGAACCAUGGCACCAGGGAGUCUUUGGAGGCUCUGCUCCAGAGGGCUGUGGCUCACUGCCCCAAGGCGGAGGUGCUGUGGCUGAUGGGAGCCAAGUCCAAGUGGAUGGCCAACGACGUGCCUGCAGCCAGGAGCAUCCUCGCGCUGGCCUUCCAGGCCAACCCAAACAGUGAGGAGAUCUGGCUGGCGGCCGUGAAGUUGGAGUCUGAGAACAAUGAGUACGAGCGAGCCCGUCGCCUGCUGUCCAAGGCCCGGAGCAGCGCGCCCACGGCCAGGGUGUUCAUGAAGUCGGUGAAGCUGGAGUGGGUGUUGGGGAACAUCGAGGCAGCCCACGAGCUGUGCUCCGAGGCCCUCAAGCACUACGAGGACUUCCCCAAGCUGUGGAUGAUGAGGGGCCAGAUCGAGGAGCAGUCCGAAAACAAUGACAAGGCCAGAGAUGCCUACAACCAGGGGCUGAAGAAGUGUCCCCACUCCAUGUCCCUGUGGGUGCUGCUCUCUCGUCUGGAGGAGAGGGUGGGACAGCUCACCAGGGCCAGAGCCAUCCUGGAGAAGGCUCGCCUCAAGAACCCCCAGACCCCGGAGAUAUGGUUGGAAUCAGUCCGACUAGAGUUCCGGGCAGGACUAAAGAAUAUCUCCCACACCCUGAUGGCUAAAGCCCUGCAAGAGUGCGCCAACUCUGGCAUCCUGUGGGCUGAGGCAGUGUUCCUGGAGGCCCGGCCGCAGAGGAAGACCAAGAGCGUGGACGCGCUGAAGAAAUGUGAACACGACCCCCACGUCCUGCUGGCUGUGGCCAAGUUGUUCUGGAGCGAGCGUAAGAUCACCAAGGCCAGAGAAUGGUUCCUGAGGACAGUGAAGAUCGAGCCAGACCUGGGAGAUGCUUGGGCGCUCUUCUAUAAGUUUGAAUUGCAGCACGGCACAGAGGAGCAGCAGGAGGAGGUACGCAAGAGGUGUGAGAACGCCGAGCCGCGCCACGGAGAGCUGUGGUGCGCCGAGUCCAAACACGUCCUCAACUGGCAGAAGAAGAUCGGCGAGAUCCUCACCCAGGUGGCGGCCAAGAUCAAGAACACCUUCUGAUCACGGUUUCAUUCACACGAAGGAUUCAAGGCAGUUUGGCAGGACUCGGGCGCUCGGCACACGUUAGGGGUCGGGGGAAAGGCUAUGAGCUGUGACUCUUGUUCUUUUUUUCCCUCCCGCUGUGUACAGUGAUAUGUAUACAGUGGCCACACUCUUUCAUUACAGCUGUUCACCUUUUUUAUUGCUUUGGUUGUGCUCCAUCUGGCUGAACUGUGGAAAACAACGAAAGAAACAUGUAUUUUUAUGGGUUAAUUUUGUCUCGUUAUAUUUUUGUUUUGUGUGCUUAAGUAAACGGCGUGUAUAAGCGUAUCAUUCUAGGGAGUUGUGUUGUUGAUUCUUUAUUUGUGAUGCGUUGUGUUUGACUGAACCCCUGCAGGUUUAAGAUAACAUUUUUCUCAGCUUGUUUAUUUGAUCUCUUACAAACUUAGUGGGUGGGUUUGAUUCCCCCAUAUUAUUAAAACUCAGAAAAUUGUAAUCUUUUAUUGUCUGACCGUUUUAAUGCACAUGGUUAUCUCCAUCCAAGUCCCUUUCAAUAUAUUGUAGUUAUCUGUUGUAGAGGUAAGGUAUAGUCCUACAUCAUUGCAGCUUUAUAGCUUUUCAAUGUUGCUUGAAUUUCUCAACCGGAAACUGCAUUAAAAAAAGAUACCUCUGAACCUUGCACCACUCAAACGAAAGUUUAUGUUUGAGGAAGUUUUCCUUGACUUGAUCAGACUUGAGUUUGGAGCGUAUUCUUAACCCACGAGUAGCAAGCAACCCAUGACGGUAAAGGAAACCGGAGCCGGCGUUGGAUUUGAUAACUCGGGAAAAAAAACACGUGCGAUAUCAACCUCCUGAAUGGUUAAACUUUCUGCCUGCCUACCUCUUGCUUUGGUUCGGAUACAAUCAUUCUGGGUCGGCUGGUAGCUACCAAAGCCAUCUGAUGGACUAUCAUUUCUUCUCAAAGCGAUGGGUUUUUAUGUGUUGGUCCCGCAAUAAAAUAUGAUAAAUGGGUCUCAACGGGUCUUUUCUUCGAAGUUUCACCAUGAUUAUUCUGUUGGUCGUUUGCUGUGGUGAACGCAAGUGUAACUACAAGGAAAUCCACGACACCUACCGAAACAUCAUCCUGGUAGAACUUCAAAGUCUGAAUUUGACCAGCAAAUUAAACGUAUCCAAAGAAAGGGACCACUGCCCAUCAGCGAAGGCACACCACAUCCUACGGUCUAUUCAUGGUAUGAUUCAACAGUUUAGAUGCCACAGGGGUAAAAAACGAGCAACGGCCUUGGAAAAACCAGUCGACAGCAUGGAACAGCUCCUCACUUACAACUGCAGACAGAACAUGGUAAAGCAAAAUAAAGUUUGUCCUGCGAGAAAAACAAAAGGGAAGAGACGACGGCUCCAGCGCAUUAUCAUCAUCAAGGCACUCAUCAACUGUUGGCAGAAGUUUCAAAGCAUUCUUUCACUAACUCUUUCAAAAAAUAGGAAACCAUGAUAUCCCACGUGAUAAUGUUUCCUAAAUUAACAGAUUAUCGUUCAACAGAUUAGCGUUUGCUGAACGAAUAAAUGUAAAUAGACCAAAUACAGUCAAUAAAGCUAGAUGUCUUGUCAUACGAUAGAUGUUUAUAUUUUGUAGCUUCCAAUGUUUGGUAGUCUCAGAUCUAUAGUGUACUGUAGAACCUCCUUAUACAAGUUGUAGUAUUUCUAUACUGUAAAUUUGAUCAUUGUUCUGUUUCUAUAAUCCUGUCACAUGAUUAUAUAUAAAACAUAAAUCAUACACAUCAGUGAUGGGAUCAUUUC
RNA transcript from Gadus chalcogrammus (walleye pollock), 4741 nucleotides. It is a transcript of the gene named PRP6 pre-mRNA processing factor 6 homolog (S. cerevisiae), with no coding region annotated. The transcript is spliced from 25 exons. The record is from RefSeq and is a predicted model, not a curated record. NCBI's taxonomy places the organism in Eukaryota, Metazoa, Chordata, Actinopteri, Gadiformes, Gadidae.